RNAcentral lists this ribosomal RNA (496 nucleotides) under uncultured bacterium. RNAcentral's name for it is "bacterial SSU rRNA". It matches the Rfam family "Bacterial small subunit ribosomal RNA", at positions 28 to 521 of the family's 1533-position model. The record is from RNAcentral.
GACGAACGCUGGCGGCGUGGAUUAGGCAUGCAAGUCGAACGGUAUCAUCCUUUCGGGGGUGAGAGAGUGGCGAACUGGUGAGUAACACGUAGGUUAUCUACCCUCAAGACGGGGACAACCCAGGGAAACUUGGGCUAAUACCGGAUGUGAGCAACUUUUAGUUGUUUGAAAGGUGGCGUAAGCUGUCGCUUGGGGAUGAGCCUGCGUCCUAUUAGUUAGUUGGUGAGGUAACGGCUCACCUAGGCAAUGAUAGGUAGGCGGCCUUAACGGGUGUCGCCCACACUGGGAUUGAGAUACGGCCCAGACUCCUACGGGAGGCAGCAGUCGAGAAUAGUCUACAAUGGUCGGAAGACUGAUAGUGCGACGCCGCGUGAACGAUGAAUCCCUUCGGGGUUAAAGUUCUUUUAAUGUGAGCAGUGCUUCUUAUAUUAACAGUAUGGGGAAGAGAUAUUAGCAUAUGAAUAAGCAACGGCUAACUCCGUGCCAGCAGCCGGGU